This 450-nucleotide ribosomal RNA is filed under the name uncultured Glomus. RNAcentral's name for it is "SSU rRNA". It matches the Rfam family "Eukaryotic small subunit ribosomal RNA", at positions 569 to 1024 of the family's 1831-position model. The record is from RNAcentral. Lineage: Eukaryota; Fungi; Glomeromycota; Glomeromycetes; Glomerales; Glomeraceae.
AGCAGCCGCGGUAAUUCCAGCUCCAAUAGCGUAUAUUAAAGUUGUUGCAGUUAAAAAGCUCGUAGUUGAAUUUCGGGGUUAGUAGGUUGGUCGUGCCUCAGGUAUGUACUGAUCUCACUGAUUCCUCCUUCCUGAUGAACCGUAAUGCCAUUAAUUUGGUGUUGCGGGGAAACUGGACUGUUACUUUGAAAAAUUAGAGUGUUUAAAGCAGGCUAACGCUUGAAUACAUUAGCAUGGAAUAAUGAAAUAGGACGUUCGAUCCUAUUUUGUUGGUUUCUAGGACUGACGUAAUGAUUAAUAGGGAUAGUUGGGGGCAUUAGUAUUCAAUUGUCAGAGGUGAAAUUCUUGGAUUUAUUGAAGACUAACUACUGCGAAAGCAUUUGCCAAGGAUGUUUUCAUUAAUCAAGAACGAAAGUUAGGGGAUCGAAGACGAUCAGAUACCGUCGUAGU